This 351-nucleotide ribosomal RNA is filed under the name uncultured Fusibacter sp. RNAcentral's name for it is "bacterial SSU rRNA". It matches the Rfam family "Bacterial small subunit ribosomal RNA", at positions 1032 to 1382 of the family's 1533-position model. The record is from RNAcentral. Lineage: Bacteria; Bacillati; Bacillota; Clostridia; Eubacteriales; Fusibacteraceae.
AGACAGGUGGUGCAUGGUUGUCGUCAGCUCGUGUCGUGAGAUGUUGGGUUAAGUCCCGCAACGAGCGCAACCCUUGUGUUUAGUUGCAAACAGGUCAAGCUGUGCACUCUAGACAGACUGCCGUGGACAACACGGAGGAAGGUGGGGAUGACGUCAAAUCAUCAUGCCCCUUAUGAUCUGGGCUACACACGUGCUACAAUGGCCGGUACAACGGGCAGCGAAGGAGCGAUCCGGAGCGAAUCCUAAAAAGCCGGUCCCAGUUCGGAUUGCAGGCUGAAACUCGCCUACAUGAAGUUGGAGUUGCUAGUAAUCGCGAAUCAGAAUGUCGCGGUGAAUGCGUUCCCGGGUCUU